This 234-nucleotide ribosomal RNA is filed under the name uncultured bacterium. RNAcentral's name for it is "partial 16S ribosomal RNA". It matches the Rfam family "Bacterial small subunit ribosomal RNA", at positions 28 to 260 of the family's 1533-position model. The record is from RNAcentral.
GACGAACGCUGGCGGCGUGCUUAACACAUGCAAGUCGAGCGGUAAGGCCCUUUCGGGGUACGACGAGCGGCGAACGGGUGAGUAACACGUGGGUGACCUGCCCUCCAGCUCUGGGAGUAAGCCUGGGAAACCGGGUCUAAUACCGGAUAUGACUCCAUGACGCAUGUUGGUGGGGUGGAAAGCCUUGUGCGGCUGAGGAUGGGCCCGCGGCCUAUCAGCUUGUUGGUGGGGUGA